RNAcentral lists this ribosomal RNA (305 nucleotides) under uncultured bacterium. Its description in RNAcentral is "bacterial SSU rRNA". It matches the Rfam family "Bacterial small subunit ribosomal RNA", at positions 334 to 656 of the family's 1533-position model. The record is from RNAcentral.
UACCCCUACGGGGCGCAGCAGUGGGGAAUAUUGCACAAUGGGGGGAACCCUGAUGCAGCGACGCCGCGUGAAGGAAGAAGUAUUUCGGUAUGUAAACUUCUAUCAGCAGGGAAGAAAAUGACGGUACCUGACUAAGAAGCCCCGGCUAACUACGUGCCAGCAGCCGCGGUAAUACGUAGGGGGCAAGCGUUAUCCGGAUUUACUGGGUGUAAAGGGCGUGUAGGCGGGGACGCAAGUCAGAUGUGAAAACCACGGGCUCAACCUGUGGCCUGCAUUUGAAACUGUGUUUCUUGAGUACUGGAGGG